RNAcentral lists this RNase P RNA (354 nucleotides) under Rhizobacter sp. RNAcentral describes it as "RNase P RNA component class A". It matches the Rfam family "Bacterial RNase P class A". Rfam says of the family: Ribonuclease P (RNase P) is a ubiquitous endoribonuclease, found in archaea, bacteria and eukarya as well as chloroplasts and mitochondria. Its best characterised activity is the generation of mature 5'-ends of tRNAs by cleaving the 5'-leader elements of precursor-tRNAs. The record is from RNAcentral. Lineage: Bacteria; Pseudomonadati; Pseudomonadota; Betaproteobacteria; Burkholderiales; Sphaerotilaceae.
GAAGCGGGCCAGACCGCCGCUGGUGCAAAACUCGAAAGGGUGCGCUGGAGGAAGGUCCGGACUGCGCAGGGCGGCGUAGCAGCUAACGGCUGCCCACCGUGAGGUGAGGAUCAGAGCAACAGAGACGAGCCGAUUCAGUUCGGGUGAAACGGGCAAUCUCUACGCGCAGCAAUACCAAAUAGGCACACGCCAGGCGGCGUUCGCGCCGCCCAGAACCCUGGCCCGGGGCAAUGUGUGCGGGUAGGUAGCACCGAGCCGUGCAGUGAUGCAUGGCCCAGAGGAAUGGCGGUCACGGCUGGCGCUUCGCAAGAAGGGCCGGCUGCACAGAAUCCGGCCUAUCGGCUCGCUUCACAC